Molecule: ribosomal RNA, 305 nt
Filed under: uncultured bacterium
Lineage: Bacteria
Description: bacterial SSU rRNA
Rfam family: Bacterial small subunit ribosomal RNA
Source: RNAcentral
UUCCUACGGGAGGCAGCAGUGAGGAAUAUUGGUCAAUGGCCGCAGGGCUGAACCAGCCAAGUCGCGUGAGGGAUGACGGUCCUAUGGAUUGUAAACCUCUUUUGUCAGGGAGCAAAGGGCGCCACGUGUGGCGUUUUGCGAGUACCUGAAGAAAAAGCAUCGGCUAACUCCGUGCCAGCAGCCGCGGUAAUACGGAGGAUGCGAGCGUUAUCCGGAUUUAUUGGGUUUAAAGGGUGCGUAGGCGGAUUUUUAAGUCAGCGGUAAAAUGUCCGGGCUCAACCCGGGCCGGCCGUUGUAACUGGGGG